RNAcentral lists this ribosomal RNA (253 nucleotides) under uncultured prokaryote. RNAcentral's name for it is "partial 16S ribosomal RNA". It matches the Rfam family "Bacterial small subunit ribosomal RNA", at positions 525 to 777 of the family's 1533-position model. The record is from RNAcentral.
ACGUAGGUGGCAAGCGUUGUUCGGAAUUAUUGGGCGUAAAGGGCGCGUAGGCGGUUUGUUAAGUCGGCUGUGAAAGCCCGGGGCUCAACCCCGGAGGGUCAGCCGAUACUGGCAGACUAGAGUACGGAAGAGGUAGCUGGAAUUCCCGGUGUAGCGGUGAAAUGCGUAGAUAUCAGGAGGAACACCGGUGGCGAAGGCGGGUCUCUGGGCAACAACUGACGCUGAGGAGCGAAAGCGUGGGGAGCGAACAGGA